GACGAACCGUGCAAACGUUGUUCGGAAUCACUGGGCUUAAAGGGCGCGUAGGCGGGUUCCCAAGUCGGUGGUGAAAUCUUUCGGCCCAACCGGAAAAGUGCCGCCGAUACUGGGAGUCUCGAGGGAGGUAGGGGUCGAGGGAACUCUAGGUGGAGCGGUGAAAUGCGUAGAUAUCUGGAGGAACGCCGGUGGCGAAAGCGCUCGACUGGACCUCUUCUGACGCUGAGGCGCGAAAGCCAGGGGAGCAAACGGG
Molecule: ribosomal RNA, 253 nt
Filed under: uncultured bacterium
Lineage: Bacteria
Description: partial 16S ribosomal RNA
Rfam family: Bacterial small subunit ribosomal RNA
Source: RNAcentral